This 468-nucleotide ribosomal RNA is filed under the name uncultured bacterium. RNAcentral's name for it is "partial 16S ribosomal RNA". It matches the Rfam family "Bacterial small subunit ribosomal RNA", at positions 28 to 507 of the family's 1533-position model. The record is from RNAcentral.
GACGAACGCUGGCGGCGUGCUUAACACAUGCAAGUCGAACGGAAAGGCCCUGCUUUUGUGGGGUGCUCGAGUGGCGCACGGGUGAGUAACACGUGAGUAACCUGCCCUUGACUUUGGGAUAACUUCAGGAAACUGGGGCUAAUACCGGAUAGGAGCUCCUGCUGCAUGGUGGGGGUUGGAACGUUUCGGCGGGUGGGGAUGGACUCGCGGCUUAUCAGCUUGUUGGUGGGGUAGUGGCUUACCAAGGCUUUGACGGGUAGCCGGCCUGAGAGGGUGACCGGCCACAUUGGGACUGAGAUACGGCCCAGACUCCUACGGGAGGCAGCAGGGGGGAAUAUUGCACAAUGGGCGGAAGCCUGAUGCAGCAACGCCGCGUGCGGGAUGACGGCCUUCGGGUGGUAAACCGCUUUCGCCUGUGACGAAGCGUGAGUGACGGUAAUGGGUAAAGAAGCACCGGCUAACUACGUG